UCCUAUUGCUACAGGAAAGCCCAGAGGAC
Molecule: non-coding RNA, 29 nt
Filed under: Rattus norvegicus (Norway rat)
Lineage: Eukaryota; Metazoa; Chordata; Mammalia; Rodentia; Muridae
Source: RNAcentral